RNAcentral lists this ribosomal RNA (492 nucleotides) under uncultured bacterium. RNAcentral's name for it is "partial 16S ribosomal RNA". It matches the Rfam family "Bacterial small subunit ribosomal RNA", at positions 29 to 507 of the family's 1533-position model. The record is from RNAcentral.
AGUGAACGCUGGCGGUAGGCCUAACACAUGCAAGUCGAACGGCAGCACAGUAAGAGCUUGCUCUUACGGGUGGCGAGUGGCGGACGGGUGAGGAAUACAUCGGAAUCUACUUUUUCGUGGGGGAUAACGUAGGGAAACUUACGCUAAUACCGCAUACGACCUACGGGUGAAAGCAGGGGAUCUUCGGACCUUGCGCGAUUGAAUGAGCCGAUGUCGGAUUAGCUAGUUGGCGGGGUAAAGGCCCACCAAGGCGACGAUCCGUAGCUGGUCUGGGAGGAUGAUCGGCCACACUGGAACGGAGACACGGUCCAGACUCCUGCGGGAGGCAGCAGUGGGGAAUAUUGGACAAUGGGCGCAAGCCUGAUCCAGCCAUACCGCGUGGGUGAAGAAGGCCUUCGGGUUGUAAAGCCCUUUUGUUGGGAAAGAAAAGCAGCAGGUUAAUACCCCGCUGUUCUGACGGUACCCAAAGAAUAAGCACCGGCUAACUUCGUG